GAUCCUGGCUUAGGAUGAACGCUGGCGGCGUGCCUAACACAUGCAAGUCGAGCGAUUACUUCGGUAAAGAGCGGCGGACGGGUGAGUAACGCGUGGGUAACCUGCCUCAUACACAUGGAUAACAUACCGAAAGGUAUGCUAAUACAGGAUAAUAUAAGAGAUUCACAUGGAUUUCUUAUCAAAGCUCCGGCGGUAUGAGAUGGACCCGCGUCUGAUUAGCUAGUUGGUAAGGUAAUGGCUUACCAAGGCGACGAUCAGUAGCCGACCUGAGAGGGUGAUCGGCCACAUUGGAACUGAGACACGGUCCAAACUCCUACGGGAGGCAGCAGUGGGGAAUAUUGCACAAUGGGCGAAAGCCUGAUGCCAGCAACGCCGCGUGAGUGAUGAAGGCCUUCGGGUCGUAAAACUCUGUCCUCAAGGAAGAUAAUGACGGUACUUGAGGAGGAAGCCCCGGCUAACUACGUGCCAGCAGCCGC
This 476-nucleotide ribosomal RNA is filed under the name uncultured bacterium. RNAcentral describes it as "bacterial SSU rRNA". It matches the Rfam family "Bacterial small subunit ribosomal RNA", at positions 15 to 518 of the family's 1533-position model. The record is from RNAcentral.